RNAcentral lists this transfer RNA (73 nucleotides) under Styela plicata. Its description in RNAcentral is "transfer RNA-Lys". The record is from RNAcentral. Lineage: Eukaryota; Metazoa; Chordata; Ascidiacea; Stolidobranchia; Styelidae.
UUGGUAGAAGCUUUGUAGAAGCGUAGGUUUUUUGAAUUUAUAAAGGGUCUAGUUUAAAGUAACCCCUACCAAG